Molecule: ribosomal RNA, 232 nt
Filed under: uncultured bacterium
Lineage: Bacteria
Description: partial 16S ribosomal RNA
Rfam family: Bacterial small subunit ribosomal RNA
Source: RNAcentral
CGGACGGGUGAGUAAUGUCUGGGAAACUGCCUGAUGGAGGGAGAUAACUACUGGAAACGGUAGCUAAUACCGCAUAACGUCGCAAGGCCAAAGAGGGGGACCUUCGGGCCUCUUGCCAUCGGAUGUGCCCAGAUGGGAUUAGCUAGUAGGUGGGGUAACGGCUCACCUAGGCGACGAUCCCUAGCUGGUCUGAGAGGAUGACCAGCCACACUGGAACUGAGACACGGUCCAG